CAAUCAGAGGGUCCACAGUUCGAAUCCUGCUGGCAGCAUUUUUAAUUUUUUUUUUUUUUUUUUUUUUAAUUCAAAUGACACGGAAACACUUAGAAAGGUGGAAAUGACCUCUAAUUGUUCUCUGAACAAUUAGUCUACUAGUAUUUUUAGGUCUUUCCACCUUUCUGUGGAAAGACCUCUUGAAAUGCUUAUGUUUAUUAGGGCUUUCCACCUUUCUGUGGAAAGACCUCUUGAAAUGCUUAUGUUUAUUAUUAGGGCUUUCCACCUUUCUGUGGAAAGACCUCUUGAAAUGCUUAUUCUACUAGUUAUUAUUAUUAUUCUUUUUCUUCCCGAACUUUUGAAAUCGUAAGACUUAUCGAAAAACGUUAUGGUUCAUGAUAUUGGAUAUUAAAAGUUAUUCCGAAAAACGACCCAAGAAGUUUGAACUUUGACCCCUUUCAAAGUUAUUGCCCCUUUCACAAGAAAUGCUUGUUAUCGCUACUCCUUUGAAACCGUAAACCGUAGAGGUAUGAAACCUUCACCAAUGUCUUUGACUAAUUGAGAGGACUCUGGAAUCUAUUCAUUGCAAAAUUCUUCGGCGACUCCUUCAAUGAGUAAUUGCCCCUGAAAGUUUUAAAGUUUACAAGAAAAAUUAAAAACUUUUAAAUGACAAGUGGUAAAGACAUAGGACCAAGUGCAUGAGAUCUUAUGACCUUUUACCUUGAAAAGUAGGUCAAGGUCAAAGGUCAAAGUCACUGGAAAAGUAGAUAAAUUGUCAAUUUAAGCUAAAUAUCCAAAUGACCUUGACCUUUGACCUUGAUAUUUGACAUUGACCUUGACCUCUGACCUUGACUCUUACUCAAAAGGUCAUAAAGAAAUAUUCAUUACCUUUAUCUAGAUUAAGACCAAGUGUUAAUCUCAAGUUUACCUCUCUCUCUCUUUUUUUUUUUGAUGACCUUGACCUUUGACCUUGAUAAAUGACCUUGACCCUUGACCCCAUUGACCUAAAGGUCACAAUCAAGCUAAAAGUCGUGGAGGUAUUUACAACCAUCACUCUAACAAAUGCUUAUAAAAUCAACACCCCCC
Molecule: long non-coding RNA, 1065 nt
Organism: Saccostrea cuccullata (small rock oyster)
Lineage: Eukaryota; Metazoa; Mollusca; Bivalvia; Ostreida; Ostreidae
Exons: 2
Source: RefSeq, a predicted model, not a curated record